AGAGUUUUCUGGGAGAACUAGAGUUCAAGAAACAACCCAUGAUUGGCAGCAUGGCAUUAUCUGUACCCACAGCUUGACAUUUGUCUUCUUGUCACAGUCAGAAGCUCAGAGUGUCAUAGAGAGAAGCUGGAGUAGAAAAAGCUGUUGAUAAAUCGUCUUCCUCUGAAAUCCUAAGCAGACAGAAUGCUCCUGAGUGAAAACCAUAAAGAAAGCCCUUUUUCCACUGCUAGGCUGACAAUCAAGCAUGCUGAGAGUCAAGCCUUUUGUGGGUGAUUCAUGGCUCCGGGGUCACACAGGUUGGAGCUUCUCAUCUGAAGGGGAUUAGGUGUUUCCAAGGAAGCACAGUUCUUCAGUGCCUUCUGAAGCAUAUCCUUGAAGUUUUUGGAGCCUGAGACCUGCUUAAGACCUCCCUCAUUACUCUGUCUCAUCACAUGAGAAGUCCAUCACAGCUUUGGCAGAAGGUUCUGAUUGGAGCCAGAAAGAAGCCAUGGUUACAAGAGGAUCCCAGAUGUGUUCAAGAGCUCCAUCCAGCUGACAGGAAAGAAGAUGUGAAGGGAAAGAGUUGAAAAAAAGAAGAUAUAACAAAACAAAACAAAACUGAAUGGAAAAUAAGGAAACAAAAAGUGUGUAUAAGCAGUGAAAAAGCCCACAAAACUUUCCAACCCUGCAGAACAGGCAAGAUCUCAAAAAUAACCUCUCUUUCUCAAAGUUGUUUUUUUGAUGAUGUUCCU
This 731-nucleotide long non-coding RNA is filed under the name Parus major (Great Tit). RNAcentral describes it as "lncRNA (ENSPMJG00000000459.1)". The record is from RNAcentral. Lineage: Eukaryota; Metazoa; Chordata; Aves; Passeriformes; Paridae.